GUGUUAUCUUCCUCCUUUUACUUCCUCCUCGUGCUGGUGGCUUAUUAGUGAUCACACACAUGCUGUCCGCUUCACACAAACACUCAUCAGCGCCUGAUACGUACGUGCCCCGGAGAGCCCCCGCGGAAGACCAGGCCAACACCAGGAGCCCUGAAGAUCCAACCAACGCUGAAGCGAGCGGAUCAAAGGUCUUUUCACACAUCUACCGGUCUCUCAAUGAUCUAGACUCUUCUCUUAGAGUAUUUGACAGACUGUGGUUGACACUCGAUUUAAGGGGGUGUCAGUUUGUCAAAUACCCCAAGAGAGGGGUCACGAGUCUCCAAAGGACUUCGACACUUCGUUUGACACAAGUGACCCUGUUACACCCUCUGUGUGCAGCAGCGCAUGUGUAAGUUUAGCUACUUAUGCUUGUGCAAAAUGUCUUUGGAAAAAAUCAAAUAAGAAGAACCACAGGAUGUCUUCCAUAUAAUUGAAUCAUUUAUAGUGUGCGUUUGUGUUUAUUAGCUCUAUAUUGCUGCAAUCUUUCUGGAUGGAUGAACUGGUAGAUUGGAUACAUAGAUGAUAAAACAACAAAUGCCAGAAAAGUACCAUUAAUGCAGUGCUAUCUGUAUCAAAGAUCAUUAUGUUAUAUUAAAGUACUCUUACAGUCUGAACAUGAUUUAGAUAGCUUGUGUUUAGCAUGCUGAGCAUACUGACAGCUGCUGAUGACAGUUUGAGUUCCUUGCUACAGAGUUGUGAAAUUUGUGUUGCAUUGUUAGUAUGUGUUGUAAUGCUUGUGGGAGUAUGCUAUCUGUUAUCUGUUAGUAUCAAACAGUAAUUACUAAUGGAAAUUCAUGUUAAUACAGAAAGUACAUUUGCAGUUCCAGAAAGAAAUACCAGUACUUGUAAGGCUGCAAAAGAAUGCCGUUUAAGUUUUUGUUAAUCUUAGGUUUAGCAUUUGGUCUUGCAUCAAUAAAAUGUUGCAUUUGAGUUACCACUGUCAUGA
This is a long non-coding RNA of Labeo rohita (rohu), 985 nucleotides long. RefSeq lists it as uncharacterized. The record is from RefSeq and is a predicted model, not a curated record. The transcript has 2 exons. Lineage: Eukaryota; Metazoa; Chordata; Actinopteri; Cypriniformes; Cyprinidae.